This 203-nucleotide microRNA precursor is filed under the name Oryza punctata. Its description in RNAcentral is "MIR812 microRNA precursor family". It matches the Rfam family "MIR812 microRNA precursor family". Lineage: Eukaryota; Viridiplantae; Streptophyta; Magnoliopsida; Poales; Poaceae. The record is from Rfam by way of RNAcentral.
UUUAAGUGUAGUUAUGGGUUUUUAUAUCUAACGUUUGACCCGUUUGUUUUAUGUGAAUUUUUUAGAUUAGUAUUUUUACUAUUAUUAUUAGAUGAUAAAACAUAAACUUCAUGUGAGACUUAUUUUUUUAAAAAAAUUAUAAAUUUUUCAAAUAAGAUGGACGGUCAAACUUGAAUAUAAAAAUACCCAUAACUGCACUUAAA